AUUGAACGCUGGCGGCAGGCCUAACACAUGCAAGUCGAGCGAGCGGCGGACGGGUGAGUACUGUCUGGGAAACUGCCUGAUGGAGGGGGAUAACUACUGGAAACGGUAGCUAAUACCGCAUACCAUCAGAUGUGCCCAGAUGGGAUUAGCUAGUAGGUGGGGUAACGGCUCACCUAGGCGACGAUACCUAGCUGGUCUGAGAGGAUGACCAGCCACACGGGAACGGAGAAACGGUCAAGACGCCGACGGGAGGCAGCAGUGGGGAAUAGUGCACAAUGGGCGAAAGCCUGAUGCAGCCAGGCCGCGUGUGUGAAGAAGGCCGUCGGGUUGUAAAGCACUUUCAGCGGGGAGGCGGUACCCGCAGAAGAAGCACCGGCUAACUCCGUGCCAGCAGCCGCGGUAAUUC
RNAcentral lists this ribosomal RNA (406 nucleotides) under uncultured bacterium. RNAcentral's name for it is "partial 16S ribosomal RNA". It matches the Rfam family "Bacterial small subunit ribosomal RNA", at positions 29 to 526 of the family's 1533-position model. The record is from RNAcentral.